This 76-nucleotide non-coding RNA is filed under the name Ctenophora environmental sample. Lineage: Eukaryota; Metazoa; Ctenophora. The record is from RNAcentral.
UUUUUCUGUUUUUGAAUUUUUGAUUUUUUUUUUUCUUUUUUGAGCCCGAAUAUGUCCAAACAGAAUAAACAAAAAA